AUUAUUUUGAACCAUCUGCACGUGCAACUGAAACAGUUCAGUCAGAUGACAGUGAGGUAGCUUAUGCCGAAACAACAUUUUUACCUAAUGUACAAAACAAGAAGCGUAAUCAGACAGAAGAGACGAUAUACUCCACCGUCAAUGGACACUGAUCAAACAAGCAGCAGUCUCUCAUUUCACCACAAUGGCUUUGCACACCUGCAUCUGUCAGCAUCACAACACUUGUGCUUUCUAACAUAGAAGAAAAUAUUUAAAAGAACUUUGGGGUCCAAGCAACAACAACAUUGGGGACCACAUUCACGCUUAUUGUAUAAAAUCUGUUUAAAGAAUAUUGUAUAAAAAAGAAAUGUAAAAUAUCCUAAUGUAUCAUAUAUAUAUAUCAUACAUGAUUGUGAAUAAAUGAUGACCAGCUGAUCAGAUUGUGGCAGAACUAGCAUGUCUAAUAUAUAGG
Molecule: long non-coding RNA, 451 nt
Organism: Carassius auratus (goldfish)
Lineage: Eukaryota; Metazoa; Chordata; Actinopteri; Cypriniformes; Cyprinidae
Exons: 2
Source: RefSeq, a predicted model, not a curated record